AGAGAGGGUAAUAGGCCCGUAGACGAAAGGAUGAAAUAGAGACGACUACCAGAGUACCGCAGGACACGAGAAAUCCAGCGGGAAGCCGGGGGGACCACCCUCCAAGCCUAAAUACGGUUGGUGACCGAUAGCGCAUAGUACCGUGAGGGAAAGGUGAAAAGAACCCCGGGAGGGGAGUGAAAGAGAACCUGAAACCCUGUGUUUACAAGCAGAGAAAGCACGGUUUAAAGUGCGAUCUCGUACCUUUUGUAGAAUGGACCGGCGAGUUACGUUAUGCAGCGAGGUUAAGGACUACAGGUCUGGAGCCGAAGUGAAAGCGAGCAUGAAUAGUGCGACAAGUUGCAUGACGUAGACCCGAAACCAGGUGACCUAUCCAUGGGCAGGUUGAAGUGGUGGUAGAACACCAUGGAGGACCGAACCAGACGUCUGUUGAAAAAGGCGGGGAUGACCUGUGGAUAGCGGAGAAAUUCCAAUCGAACUUGGAUAUAGCUGGUUCUCCUCGAAAUAGCUUUAGGGCUAGCCUCGUGUUAGUGAAUAGGAGGUAGAGCACUGAAUGAGCUAGGGGGCCACAAAGCUUACCGAACUCUAUCAAACUUCGAAUGCCUGUUAAACGAUGCACGGGAGUCAGACUGCGAGUUAUAAGAUCCGUAGUCAAAAGGGAAACAGCCCAGAUCGACAGCUAAGGCCCCUAAGUGAUGGUUAAGUGGAAAAGGAUGUGGAAUUGCACAGACAACCAGGAUGUUGGCUCAGAAGCAGCCAUUCAUUUAAAGAGUGCGUAAUAGCUCACUGGUCGAGUGAUUGUGCGCCGAAGAUUCAACGGGGCUAAAACCAUCCGCCGAAGCUUCGGGAUCAUCGAAAGAUGAUCGGUAGAGGAGCAUUGUAUAAGCGCGGAAGCUGGAGCGAAAGCACCAGUGGAGUUUAUAGAAGAGAGAAUGCCGGUAUGAGUAACGAGAUGUAAGCGAGAAACUUACACGUCGAAAGCCCAAGGAUUCCUGGGGAAGGUUCAUCCGCCCAGGGUAAGUCGGGGCCUAAGCCGAGGACGAUAGUCGUAGGCGAUGGAAAACAGGUUGAGAUUCCUGUACCGCCCAUAUGAGUGAUGCAUUGACACAGAAGGAUAGCAUGAGCCGGUUGAUGGUAGAGCCGGUCGAAGAGCGUAGGCUGCUUGGUAGUGAAGUACGCCAGGCGUAAGGCUGAAACUUGAUAGGGAGCGAAAAUAAGUAGCGAAGCAUGCGAAUCCCCGCUGGCGAGAAAAGAUGCUGGCAAUGAUAUGGGCGCCCGUACCGCAAACCGACGCAGGUGGGCGAGGAGAGAAUCCUGAGACGGACGGGAGAACUCUUGUUAAGGAACUCGGCAAAAUGACCCCGUAACUUCGGGAGAAGGGGUGCCUCGAAAGAGGCCGCAGAGAAUAGGCCCAAGCGACUGUUUAGCAAAAACACAGGUGUUUGCGAAAGCGAGAGCUGACGUAUAAGCGCUGACGCCUGCCCGGUGCUGGAAGGUUAAGAGGAGCUGUCAGGCAACGAAGCAGCGAAUUGAAGCCCCAGUAAACGGCGGCCGUAACUAUAACGGUCCUAAGGUAGCGAAAUUCCUUGUCGGGUAAGUUCCGACCCGCACGAAUGGCGUAACGACUUGGGCGCUGUCUCAACAGGGGACCCGGUGAAAUUGAAGUAUGGGUGAAGAUGCCCAUUACCCGCGACUGGACGGAAAGACCCCGUAGAGCUUUACUGUAGCUUAUCAUUGGAUUUCGAUAACGAAUGUACAGGAUAGGUGGGAGGCUAAGAAGCGUUGACGUCAGUUGACGUGGAGCCGACGUUGGGAUACC
RNAcentral lists this ribosomal RNA (1819 nucleotides) under metagenome. RNAcentral's name for it is "bacterial LSU rRNA". It matches the Rfam family "Bacterial large subunit ribosomal RNA", at positions 357 to 2201 of the family's 2925-position model. The record is from RNAcentral.